GGGGAAUUUUGCGCAAUGGACGGAAGUCUGACGCAGCAACGCCGCGUGCGGGGUGAAGGCUUUCGGGUUGUAAACCGCUUUCAGAUUGAACGAUUGUGACGGUACUUUCAGAAGAAGGUGCGGCCAACUACGUGCCAGCAGCCGCGGUGACACGUAGGCACCAAGCGUUGUCUGGAUUUAUUGGGCGUAAAGAGCUCGUAGGCGGUUCGGUAAGUCGGGUGUGAAAUCGGCGGGCUUAACUCGUCGUGUGCAUUCGAUACUGCUGUGACUGGAGUGCAGUAGGGGAGCGGGGAAUUCCUAGUGUAGCGGUGAAAUGCGCAGAUAUUAGGAGGAACACCGGUGGCGAAGGCGCCGCUCUGGGCUGUUACUGACGCUGAGGAGCGAGAGCAUGGGGAGCGAAC
Molecule: ribosomal RNA, 401 nt
Filed under: uncultured bacterium
Lineage: Bacteria
Description: bacterial SSU rRNA
Rfam family: Bacterial small subunit ribosomal RNA
Source: RNAcentral